UAAACCGUCUUAAUUAACAACGUUUUUGUCGGUGUUGUGCAAUAAAAACCACUAUACUACCCCAUCGUAAGGCAUCACCAAUCAUCGUAAAAAGGUUUUUGAAAUAUCUUUGGAAACCCUAAUUGUCAUCAUUGAUUUUGUCGAUUUUGGGUCAAUUUUGGUGUUCGAUAGCCUUACCAUCUACGUCGUUGAGAUCCAUGUGUCCUUCCGACCAAAUCCCGACCAGGAUCAUCGCCUCACCACCAUCAAUUCUUCGUCUGUCGUUGGGGACAUUAUUCAAGUUCAAUUGCAAUCAAAUGGAGUUUAAUUGAUCAUCGAUAUGACUCAAAAAUUGAGGUUAAAGAAUUGAUCAUGUGGAGUUAUUGACAACAGUUGUGGGAGUUUGUUCGACGUUGCUUACUAGUAUGAUAUCAGUAGAAU
This is a long non-coding RNA of Hibiscus syriacus, 420 nucleotides long. RefSeq lists it as uncharacterized. The transcript has 3 exons. NCBI's taxonomy places the organism in Eukaryota, Viridiplantae, Streptophyta, Magnoliopsida, Malvales, Malvaceae. The record is from RefSeq and is a predicted model, not a curated record.